This is an RNA transcript of Zingiber officinale, 2459 nucleotides long. It is a transcript of the gene named phenylalanine--tRNA ligase beta subunit, cytoplasmic-like, with no coding region annotated. The record is from RefSeq and is a predicted model, not a curated record. The transcript is spliced from 3 exons. NCBI's taxonomy places the organism in Eukaryota, Viridiplantae, Streptophyta, Magnoliopsida, Zingiberales, Zingiberaceae.
UCCCGCAAUUAUUAGCCAAACAUCCUCACGCCCGCGAACUUCUUCCAGGCGAAACAUCCUCACGCUAAACCUCUCCUCACGACGUACAAAAACCAGCCGGAAAAACCUAAAAUCGCUACCUCUCCUCACGCGAACCCUAAACUCCUCUCCACCAACAGUGAAGCAUUCUCUGUCGAAGUCCUCCUCACGCGAACUCUCUCCGUCGAAGCCCUCUCCGCCGAAGCCUCCUCACGUGAACUCCCUCCAUCGAAGGCUCCUCACGCAAACUCCCUCUGUCGAAACCUCACUGUCGCAACCCUAAACUCCUCUCUCCACCAAAGCCCUCUCCGCCGAAGCCUCCUCACGUGAACUCCCUCCGCUGAAGCCUCCUCACGCGAACUCCCUCUGUUGAAGCCUCUCUGCCGCAGCCCUAAACUCCUCUUUGUCGAACAUCUCCGCCCAUCCUAUCUUAGAUGAAGUGCUCUAAGGCGAAGCCCUCUCCGGUGAAGCCCUCUCCACCGAAGCUCUUCUCAGGUUGGAUUUUCUUUUGUUUUCUUUGUUUUUCUUGUAUUAUGUUUUCUUAUCAAAAAUCAAAUGAAAUAGAAGGAUUCAAAGAAUAGAGACACACUGAUUGGUUACAAGCCAAGGUGUAUGUCAGGUUUAAAGCACUAGAUAGAUUUGAUAAUUUCUGGCAGUUCAGUCUGGUUUCAAGAAGAACAAGAAGCUGGUGAUGAGGACGAGGAGGUCAUAUUUAAGAUUGGCGUUGCCGCCAAUAGGUAAAAUUUGAUUAUUUUUAGUCUUUUUUAGUCAACCUGUCUCAUGGAGGCGCAAAAGGAAAUUAUUUCAGUAGCAAUUUAUUUUAUUCAGAAUCUAAACAUGCAAAGAUGAUUAAAAUUGUUGUUAUCUCUCUACUGUUGCUGUGUUAUAAGAAAUGUUCUAUAGAUACAUAGAGUAUCGAACUUCAUCAAGUUUUGACUUCUGGUUUCUAAUUGGAUCAUGUUAGCCUAGUAUUUACGCCAAAGCUUUUCUCUUUUCAUCUUUUAUUUUUAUCUAUUAGGUUGAUGCAAUGCAUUGAAAGAAAGACAAACUAUUAAGUAUAGUUCUACAGUUCAAAUAUGAUACUGAUGAUGGAUGUCAUAUUGGUUUUGUAACUUCCUUUUUUCUGUCUAGUUAUUCAACUGCAGAUACGAUUUGCUCUGUCUUGAAGGGAUUGCUUGGGCUCUUAGAAUUUUCAUUGAAAAGGAAGCUAGCCCUUUGUAUACAGUCACUAGUGUCUCACCCGAAUCAAUACUCAAAAUGCAUGUCAAACCUGAGGUGAUUAAAAUGAUUGAGACAAGCUUCCUGGGUUUUCUUGUUUUAUUUUUGUUCUUAUAUCUUUUUUCUUUAUUUUUUGAGACAAGAACAAAGUUUGUAACAUGAUUCUCUUAUUUAAUAGACCUCAUUGAUCCGACCUUUUGUUGUUUGUGCUGUUUUGAGGGGAAUAGCCUUUGAUAAAGCAAGAUACAACAGCUUCAUUGACCUGCAAGAUAAAUUGCACCAAAAUAUAUGUAGGUAUGCUACAUGUUUCAAUUAUUGCUGGUUUUCUCCAUUGUUUUUGUUGGUGAAUCAGUGUCAAAAUUUAUUCUUCUUGGAAUACCAAGUGAAGAACCUUAGUUGCUAUUGGGACACAUGAUUUGGAUACAAUACAGGGUCCUUUUUCCUAUGAGGAGAAAAUUUUCAGGGUUGAUGAGCUGUUGGAAUAUUACAAAUCAAAUAUGAAGCUUAAGAAGUUCUUGCACAUAAUUGAGAACUCUCCUGUGUACCCAGUGAUCUAUGACAGAAAUAGGUAAAAACAAUCAUCUAGUACCCACAUUAUUUGGCUACAACCUGACAAUCUCUUGGUUAAUUAGUCAAAUAAUUGAUUUUGAUUAUUCUCUAAUGUACUUUAUACUUAUAUGUUGUCCUUUAAUGUACUUCUGGUAUUAGGAAUGAUUUUGGUAGCAAUAGCGAUAUCAAUAAUGGUGUAAAAAAAAUGAUGGUUUUGGUCAUGUUUUUCAGGUGAUUAUCAUAAAUUAUGUAUUUCUAAAUCAUAAAAUUGUUACAAAAAUAUAAUAAUUUUGUAUUGUUUAUUUACAAUCAAAUUUGAGAAAUGUGAGUCAUGGAGAUAUCUGUGCUAAUACCAAAUGUAAGUUGCUUCAUUGGUCUACCGAUGAAUUAGUUGUUGCAGAAGGUCGAAUUGCAUCCACAGAUCCAAACACAAAAGUGCAUCACAUUAUUUUUGGUGGAUCAUGUUGGAAAGUUUGGGUUGAUAAGGUUUUGGUGGAAAAGGUGAACCUAAUUCGAUCAAAUGAUGAAAUGCAGUUUCUCGAUGAUGUAAUAGGAAGCACGGUCACAUGGUUAUCUAAAUUUAUAGUAUUGUGUGAUUGAUACAUAUUAUACUAAUUUGUGUGGAUUGUAAGUUUAAUUGUUGUUAUGUAAUUGCUAGUUUGUUAGAGAUUUCA